RNAcentral lists this ribosomal RNA (491 nucleotides) under uncultured bacterium. RNAcentral describes it as "partial 16S ribosomal RNA". It matches the Rfam family "Bacterial small subunit ribosomal RNA", at positions 29 to 507 of the family's 1533-position model. The record is from RNAcentral.
AGUGAACGCUGGCGGUAGGCCUAACACAUGCAAGUCGAACGGCAGCACAGUAAGAGCUUGCUCUUACGGGUGGCGAGUGGCGGACGGGUGAGGAAUACAUCGGAAUCUACUUUUUCGUGGGGGAUAACGUAGGGAAACUUACGCUAAUACCGCAUACGACCUACGGGUGAAAGCAGGGGAUCUUCGGACCUUGCGCGAUUGAAUGAGCCGAUGUCGGAUUAGCUAGUUGGCGGGGUAAGGCCCACCAAGGCGACGAUCCGUAGCUGGUCUGAGAGGAUGAUCAGCCACACUGGAACUGAGACACGGUCCAGACUCCUACGGGAGGCAGCAGUGGGGAAUAUUGGACAAUGGGCGCAAGCCUGAUCCAGCCAUACCGCGUAGGUGAAGAAGGCCUUCGGGUUGUAAAGCCCUUUUGUUGGGAAAGAAAAGCAGCAGGUUAAUACCCCGCUGUUCUGACGGUACCCAAAGAAUAAGCACCGGCUAACUUCGUG